GUCCACGCCGUAAACGAUGGGUACUAGGUGUGGCGGGUGUCGACUCCCGCUGUGCCGAAGCUAACGCAUUAAGUACCCCGCCUGGGGAGUACGGCCGCAAGGCUAAAACUCAAAGGAAUUGACGGGGACCCGCACAAGCAGCGGAGCAUGUGGUUUAAUUCGACGCAACGCGAAGAACCUUACCAGGGCUUGACAUGCAUUGGAAAACCGUGGAAACACGGUCCCCCUUCGGGGCUAAUGCACAGGUGGUGCAUGGCUGUCGU
RNAcentral lists this ribosomal RNA (263 nucleotides) under uncultured bacterium. Its description in RNAcentral is "partial 16S ribosomal RNA". It matches the Rfam family "Bacterial small subunit ribosomal RNA", at positions 793 to 1055 of the family's 1533-position model. The record is from RNAcentral.